This 28-nucleotide small RNA is filed under the name Bombyx mori (domestic silkworm). RNAcentral describes it as "ovarian small RNA-10289". The record is from RNAcentral. Lineage: Eukaryota; Metazoa; Arthropoda; Insecta; Lepidoptera; Bombycidae.
AACCAGCGUGGGUUGAGGAUAGCCGGCC